AUUGAACGCUGGCGGCAUGCUUUACACAUGCAAGUCGAACGGCAGCGCGGGCUUCGGCCUGGCGGCGAGUGGCGAACGGGUGAGUAAUGCAUCGGAACGUGCCCAGUAGUGGGGGAUAGCCCGGCGAAAGCCGGAUUAAUACCGCAUACGACCUGAGGGUGAAAGCGGGGGACCGAAAGGCCUCGCGCUAUUGGAGCGGCCGAUGUCGGAUUAGCUAGUUGGUGGGGUAAAGGCUUACCAAGGCGACGAUCCGUAGCUGGUCUGAGAGGACGACCAGCCACAUUGGGACUGAGACACGGCCCAGACUCCUACGGGAGGCAGCAGUGGGGAAUUUUGGACAAUGGGGGCAACCCUGAUCCAGCCAUGCCGCGUGCGGGAAGAAGGCCUUCGGGUUGUAAACCGCUUUUGUUCGGGAAGAAAUCCUCUGGGCUAAUACCCCGGGGGGAUGACGGUACCGGAAGAAUAAGCACCGGCUAACUACGUG
RNAcentral lists this ribosomal RNA (484 nucleotides) under uncultured bacterium. RNAcentral describes it as "partial 16S ribosomal RNA". It matches the Rfam family "Bacterial small subunit ribosomal RNA", at positions 28 to 507 of the family's 1533-position model. The record is from RNAcentral.